This 30-nucleotide non-coding RNA is filed under the name Sus scrofa (pig). RNAcentral also lists the same sequence under 4 other names. The record is from RNAcentral. Lineage: Eukaryota; Metazoa; Chordata; Mammalia; Artiodactyla; Suidae.
UAAUUAAAACAAAGCAUCGCGAAGGCCCGC